AGUUGUAUCUUCUGCACCAUUUCGAGUCUUCCUGCUCCCAUCUCUUACUCCAGCCACUGCUGCAAGAACUCAUUUUGGAUAUGACCAUUGCUUUUCCUGGCAAAGACGCUGGUCCUUGUCGCCUCUGCAGCACAUCGGUAAACAGUGGAGGGAAACGACCCCCUUGGAGAAAGCCGGGGCUUUUACUGGGUGGGCCAUGGCCCGUGGAGGGGACUCCAUGGACUCUGAACCGGAGACCACCUAGCACCCUGGGGCCUCCUCAGAGAGAGCUGGAGCUCCUUCCUCUGGGCAGCACCUGGGUCCAAGCCGCAGCCUCUGUGGUCUCUGCCCCUGCGGUCAAAGAAAGAGAGCAAAUAACCUAUUUUCCGUAGGUCCCUCUGCCAACAACCACCACCGAGGAAACACCCAAGGUUAUGGAGGGUUAGUUGUCCACCUUAUUAAAACUUCACACACUGGGUAGCUCUUAGCUCUCUGGUUAGAUUCCUGGCUCCACCCCUGACCAGCUUUGUGACCUGGGAAAAAGCAACAUCUCAAAUUCUCAGUUUGCUUAUCUGUCAAAGGAAGGGCCGAGCACCAAACUGGCAGAGUCAGCCUUGAGUGGGCGCUAAGACUGUGCCAACAAAGACUGGUCACCCAUCGUCACCGGCUCCUCCUCCCUCUUCUGCUCUUCUGUCUCAGCCUUUUGGUUCCAGCCUUCAGGGCUCUGUCUGACUUCAUUAUUUGUUCUUAAGUCUGUUCUUUCCAUAAGUAUGAAAGAGAGAAAGUGAAAUGAGUCGAGAAACCAUCUCUAAGGAAUGAUCACUCUUUGAACAGUCCCACUGGGAACCUGGAAGACCCCCACGUUCCUUUUCUCUGGGCUGUUAUGCUGUCCUCCUAAAAGCGAGGCACAUACACUGUUUCGAAUGCGUCCCUCAGCUCUCCGCCCGUGCUGGGGCUGACCGGCCUGUGGGACUAUGUAUGGCAGGUGGCAGGUUUGCGUGGCUUCUCAGACCCUGCCCAGGCUCGGAGGACUGGCCCCAGGGAGGGAGACAGGGGCAGGGAUGUGAGUUUUUGCAGGUCCAAGGCCCUCGUGUCUGUCGAAAACCGUAUUUGGGGUUUACUUUGAACAAAGCCCAGGACUCCAAAAAUCCCUGCUGCUAUGCUUCCAGAGCUGCCUCUCCUUUGCUCGGGUGUAAGCUUGUAACGGAAAAGAAACCAAGAGUCACCAACAUAUCUUUCUUCCCAGGAAUCCUUUGGAUUUGGGAGAUGGGGCUCCGUAUAGCAGAUCCCAAGGAACCAUCCUUUCUUCGUUUCCUUUUACGAACACAUGUGCAGCAU
Long non-coding RNA from Phacochoerus africanus (Common warthog), 1317 nucleotides. RefSeq lists it as uncharacterized. The record is from RefSeq and is a predicted model, not a curated record. The transcript is spliced from 3 exons. Lineage: Eukaryota; Metazoa; Chordata; Mammalia; Artiodactyla; Suidae.